Molecule: ribosomal RNA, 476 nt
Filed under: uncultured bacterium
Lineage: Bacteria
Description: partial 16S ribosomal RNA
Rfam family: Bacterial small subunit ribosomal RNA
Source: RNAcentral
AUUGAACGCUGGCGGCAUGCCUUACACAUGCAAGUCGAACGGUAACAGGUUAAGCUGACGAGUGGCGAGCGGGUGAGUAAUGUAUCGGAACGUGCCCAGUCGUGGGGGAUAACUGCUCGAAAGAGCAGCUAAUACCGCAUACGACCUGAGGGUGAAAGCGGGGGAUCGCAAGACCUCGCGCGAUUGGAGCGGCCGAUAUCAGAUUAGGUAGUUGGUGAGGUAAAGGCUCACCAAGCCGACGAUCUGUAGCUGGUCUGAGGGGACGACCAGCCACACUGGGGACAGAACCCCGCCCAAGCCCCUAAGGGGGGCAGCCAUGGGGAUUUUGGAGCAAAGGGCGGAAGCCUGAUCAAGCCAAGCCAGGUGGGGGAAGAAAGCAGUAGGUUUGAAAACCGCUUUUGGCAGGAAAGAAAAGGUUUUGGCUAAACCCUGGGAACCGUAACGGUACCUAAAAAAAAAGCACCGGCUAACAACGG